RNAcentral lists this ribosomal RNA (253 nucleotides) under uncultured bacterium. RNAcentral's name for it is "partial 16S ribosomal RNA". It matches the Rfam family "Bacterial small subunit ribosomal RNA", at positions 524 to 776 of the family's 1533-position model. The record is from RNAcentral.
UACGUAGGGUGCAAGCGUUGUCCGGAAUUAUUGGGCGUAAAGAGCUCGUAGGCGGCUUGUCGCGUCGGCUGUGAAAACCCGGGGCUCAACCCCGGGCCUGCAGUCGAUACGGGCAGGCUAGAGUCCGGCAGGGGAGACUGGAAUUCCUGGUGUAGCGGUGAGAUGCGCAGAUAUCAGGAGGAACACCGGUGGCGAAGGCGGGUCUCUGGGCCGGAACUGACGCUGAGGAGCGAAAGCGUGGGGAGCGAACAGG